GCAGUCGAUGCUGAGGAAGGAAGGCAAUCCCAUGCCAACUGUUGUACCAGAAGUGGUCACUCCAGUGAACAUGCCUGACCCUCUUCCACCUCAGGAAAAGCCUCGUGGAUUUCAUCCACAUCCUGUGCCUCCAAGGGCUCCGUAUCAGCGGCCAUUUCCUGUUCCCCGACCAAGGCAAAGGAACCCUGUGCCGAACCAGUAUCCAAAUCAGCAAUGGAACUUCGCUCAACAAAGAAGAGAGGGACCAAGAAGGCCUCCAAAG
This 262-nucleotide long non-coding RNA is filed under the name Lathyrus oleraceus (garden pea). RNAcentral's name for it is "Pisum sativum (pea) long non-coding RNA (PSAT_LNC041428)". Lineage: Eukaryota; Viridiplantae; Streptophyta; Magnoliopsida; Fabales; Fabaceae. The record is from RNAcentral.